This 497-nucleotide ribosomal RNA is filed under the name uncultured bacterium. RNAcentral describes it as "partial 16S ribosomal RNA". It matches the Rfam family "Bacterial small subunit ribosomal RNA", at positions 28 to 507 of the family's 1533-position model. The record is from RNAcentral.
GAUGAACGCUGGCGGCGUGCCUAACACAUGCAAGUCGAGCGAACAGACGCGGAGCUUGCCUCUCUGACGUUAGCGGCGGACGGGAGAGUAACACGUGGACACCCUCCUUAUAAGACUGGGCUAACAUGGGGAAAUCGGAGCUAAUACCGGCUAAUAUUUAGAACGGCAGGGCGUAAUAGCUAAAGACGUUUUUGCUGCCACUUAUAGAUUGAUCCGCGCCGGAUUAGCUAGUUGGUAAGGUAAAGGCUUACCAAGUCGACGAUGCGUAGCCGACCUGAGAGGGUGAUCGGCCACACUGGAACUGAGACACGGUCCAGACUCCUACGGGAGGCAGCAGUAGGGAAUCUUCCACAAUGGGCGAAAGCCUGACGGAGCAACGCCGCGUGAGGGAUGAAGGUCUUCGGGUCGUAAAACUCUGUUGUUAGGGAAGAAAAAGUGUGGGAGAAACUAUGCGCGUAUUGACGGUACCUAAAGAGAAAGCCACGGCUAACUACGUG